Molecule: ribosomal RNA, 191 nt
Filed under: Myla sp. CMF 0091
Lineage: Eukaryota; Metazoa; Arthropoda; Insecta; Hemiptera; Coreidae
Description: partial large subunit ribosomal RNA
Rfam family: Eukaryotic large subunit ribosomal RNA
Source: RNAcentral
AUGAGCUGGCACCGUCUGGGCGAAAGGGAAUCCGGUUCCUAUUCCGGAACCCGGCCGCGGAACCGCUCCAAUUCGGGCCCUCAUCCGAGGACUCGUCGGGGUGACCCGAAAUGACCCGGAGAAGCCGUAGGGAGGUCCGGGGAGAGUUGUCUCUUCUCUAUAAGCGUUCGAGUUCCCUGGAAGCCUCUAGG